CAAACAUUGGUUGCCAACACUGAAGAACUUCAGGAAGCUCGCCAAGGUCUGAUCAAGGUAAUGCUGUCAGAAAAAGCAACCAGAAAUACAGUGAUUGGAGUAAAUAAGAGACCACACAGCUCACCAUCACUGAAACCACCAUGAACGUGAGCUAGCUGAAUAUUUCUUCACCAACUUAUUACACCAACAGAUCGAGUUGAAUAAUUACCACCACCAACACUUAUUUGAGAUCUGAUUUCAAACCACCACCACCAUCUCAAUUUCUUAAUCCAUCAAAGGUUCAUUGCAAAGGUUCAUGUUGAAGAACGCUGUAUCAUGGUUUUUGGUGUGGCUGGUUAAAUUUUCUGUUGCUUAUGAGGUGGGUUUAACUUGGAUUUGAAUUUUCAGUUGAAUAAGAGAAGAUUUGGCUCAAUGUAGAGAAGACCAAUGAAGAAAUUAGGGGUUGAUCCUGUUAAUAUAAAGCAGGUGUUGGUUGUGGCAUUGCAUUGUUUGUUGAAACUGAAUUUGGUAAUGAAGGUGAUGGUAGUGAUUGGUUGAAUUUGGUGGGCUGAGAUGGAAAUGAAAGUUGGGUUGGUUGCUGCUGGUGAUAUGGGUUUAGAGUGGAAUGAAUUAGUUCUGUAGCAAUUGUGGUUUCAUGUGGGAGUUGGAUGUAUGUUAUUGAUGGCUGUCUGAGAUGGCAGUGAAGCUGAUGUUGUGUUACUGCCAUCUGAUGAUAAGCAACAGUGAAAGCAAAUGGUGGAGCAGCAGGUUAUAAAUUGAUGUUAAGACCGCAGAGAAGAUGGACCUGUUGUGCAGCUGAAAUGGAUAGAAGUCAUAGAUGAACCUAAUGGUUGUGCCAUGGAAGCUACAGGGAUGAAUUCUGGUAUGAUGCUGCUGAUACUCAGAUGAGCAGAUUCAUUAGAUGUAUGUUUUGGGUUGAAGGGCAUUGCAGGUGGAUGGAUGUUGAGCAUAUGGCUGUGUUGGUGUGGAUUAAAGUGAUGGAACUUAUGUUGUUCUGGUAAUUUUAUGGUGGAAUGCAAUUGCAGAAAAGGAGUUUGGCAUAAGAGGAGGAGCUGAUUGAACUGAAUAGAUGAAUGCUAGGAUUGGCAGGAACUGAUAGACAAAGAAGUGAUGUUGCAGAAAAUGGAGAAAGAGAAGAUGGAAAAUAUGGAGGUGUUGAUACUGUUGCUGGUGGUUCUAAGCUGAAGCUGCAGAUGGUUUGCAGGUGGAGUUGUGAUGAUGUUCAUGGGUCGGAAGUGCUAAGUCUAGAAGAUUGCAGGGAGAAAUUGGUUGUGUUAAAGUAGGUUGAGCCGCAGUUGCAUGAGCUGAGCGUAGGAAGAUGAAUUGCAGGGAGCAAUGAGUGAUGCAGAUGUUCAUUAUAUGUUGAUGUUGCAGGCAAUCUGAGACGGAGAAUACAAAUUGUGAUGUUUGAUCUUGUUACUGUGAUUGUGAUGUUUGAUCUUAGU
Molecule: long non-coding RNA, 1445 nt
Organism: Papaver somniferum (opium poppy)
Lineage: Eukaryota; Viridiplantae; Streptophyta; Magnoliopsida; Ranunculales; Papaveraceae
Exons: 4
Source: RefSeq, a predicted model, not a curated record